UUUUAAACUCUCGGACUGAAAGAUAAGAACACACACACACACAGGUACAGGAAAUACAGCCAGAUCGGAGCCUUUUCAGACCGCAGGUGACCGGAAGACGUUGCCUUUCAUUCAUUCAUUCUGCUCGCCUCCGUGGAGUUCUUCACUAGCCUACGAUCCCUGAAAGAGAAGUUGGACUUUUUUUUUUUUUUUUUUUUUUAAAGGUCCUUGCGCCCGCCCAGUGGAGAAAAUUGAUGCUCUGGAAGGAAAUACUCAGAGAAUCGGAUCUAGCGUCUCCUAACGCAGCUUGCAAGCAAGCGAAAGGUAAGCCCUGGUUGGUUGUUGACAGGAGAAGAGUUGUGGAAAGGUGUGUGGCUCUUGGGAUGGGAUACGAAAACCUUAAGCGCACCUGGACUGAUUCUAUAUGACUUUAGCGGAGAUGUGGCCACCCUCUAAGCAUAUAUAGAAUGUCAUUAGGUCCGGGAGUUCUCCCAUGUCCCCCUUCCCAAUGCUUGUGACAACCUCCAGAGUUGUCCUGUAAUUCAUCAUGAACACGGAGAAACGCUUUACUCCAGACCAACUCUUGUGUCCUGCAAGGCCUGGUCUUAGGGGUUAAAUCUCCUGAUAAGAUGACAUGGCACCUGGACUACAAUAAGGGACAUAGUAGGUGCUCACAGCUGGUGUCCACGUGCUAUUUUAUUUCUGCCCCUAAUCCUGUGGGCUAGUUGAAGCAGGUCAUUUUGCAAAUUGGGAAACUGAGGCUCAGAGAAAUUAUGAAACUGGAUGACUACUCAGCCUUCAGUCAUUCCCAUGUAACAGGCCAUUAGACCUGGGGAAGAAAUGCGUCCCUCACUCACCUUAAUUCACUGUCAUUUCAUUCUUGUAGUUUUUGUUUUGUUUUGUUUUUUUUCAUGUGACCCCAAAGACUAAUCUUUAAAGUUUGUUUUACUCUGUGUUCACUAGCUGUAAAAAUCUUUUAAAGUAGGUAUGAAGCUAGCAAACACCAAACUUUUGUCUCCAAACUGAAAUGGCCUAUGUUGGUUCUGCUACAUCCAAUCGACAGCCCUUUGUAUGUGGCGGGCUCUUUAGCCCUCUAUCAAGAAGUGGGACUAUUUUAUUUGCUUCUGUCUUGAGAAAGAGAGAACCCUUUCAGGGAAACCAUCUCGAAAUUCCCCAUUUUGCAAAUGAUGAAACUGGGACUCAGGAAGGCAAAGCCACUUUUACCCAAGAUCAUACAGUUUUCCUGUGGGCUAUUGGGGUUCCAAUUGGAACCUGGCUUGUCUAUCACAUGCCUUUUCCGAUAUUAACCAGGGUCACUGCUCCCACAUAAUGAAAAAACAAAACCAAAACACUCAAAGGAGGGCUUCUGGGCUGGAGGGUGGUGAGAAGUGAAUUAAGUGAAAUAAAACAAAAUUGGCAAGUAGGAUGCAGGAUCUUCGCCCUUCACCUUUUUUCCCUGGGAUUCCUCUCUCAUGUGGCUUCCUGGUGUCCCCCCAAAAGCUGGCACUAGGAAAAUGAUGGGGGGGGGGCAGCCACCUUAGUGUGAAAACAGUUAAGCCUAUAUAUCACCUCUAUGGGGAGUUCCUGGCCUGUCAGAGCAGGAAGGGGUUGACUAGUCACCUAAUUUAAUCCCCUCCCUUUACAAACCUCCAGGAAACCGCAAACCCCAGAGAAGAAUGGGCCAGCCAGGGGCUUGUUCCCCUUUGACUCCCCCAGAAUGCCUAUCCUGCUGCUGGGCCCUAAGUGGUCACUCCAUAAAUGUUGGGCCCUUGAUGGAUCACCUUCCCCAGCAUAUUUGCAUUUUCUCUUUAUCAGUAAUUGGCAGAUGAAAGGCUUUGUCCUCCUGUUGAAAGAAUUCCAAGCAUUUGCUGAAAGUGGGGGAGGAGGUUAUUUUGGGCCAAAGGGGGAAGGGCCAAGACCCUUGAGCUCCAGCUUGGCUGAUUGUCCCUGAGGAGCUGAGAGUAGGUGAGGGAGGGCACAGAAGCUGAAGGUGCUUAUUUAAAAGAUGAACUUUUUUUGUAGGAAAACACCAGGCCAAUUGCAUUGGAAAUUAAAUAAUAAUGACUUUCCUGGACUCUCCGGGAGUGUUCUAGCAACAGUAGUCAAAUCCUGCCUAUUAUCCCCAUUCAUUCAUUUCUUCCAUCCUCAAAGGUUGAUGGUGCAGCUCUGUGCCCAAAGACUGAGAAGACAGGAAAGACAAAAGAAGAAACAGCUAAACUUCCAGGCAUACUCCAGGCAGGGGCUGGAGAAGGACUAACAACUUCCCAAGGAAGAGGCUGACUCUGGAUGGAGCCCUCAGAAAUCAGAAUCCAGGAUUUGGGGCUAUUAAGACACUGAAGCUCCUAACUUUUGAGAAUUUAAUAUGCCUUCAAGCAAAGUCCCUCACAUUUGCUAUCUCUUUGAAUGCUUGCCAAAACUCUUUUUUUUUUUUCUUUUUUUUAAAGAGAGAGGGAGAGAGAGAGAGAAAGAAUUUUAAUAUUUUAUUUUUUAGUUAUCGGCGGACACAACAUCUUUGUAUGUGGUGCUGAGGAUCGAACCCGGGCCGCACGCAUGCCAGGCAAACGCUACCGCUUGAGCCACAUCCCAGCCCCCUUGCUCCUCUUAAGGAGGAGCAAUGGUAUAAUUCCUUACUUCUAUAGCUGAGGCUCAAAGAAUUGUCAAUUACUUGGCCAAAUUUUACAGCUGUGAAAUAACGGUAACAGGAUUUGAACCCAGACCUUGUAGGAAUCCAGGGCCCAAGGACUGACCACUCUGUAAGCCCCUUGCAGGGCUGUGCCAUACAACCAGAUAAUGGAAAUAUUGUACAUUUGCAAUUGUUUUCUCUAGCCACAUCUUGCUAUUGAGCCCCUGAAAUAUGGAUACUGGGCUUAAAGAAUUAAAAUAUUUAUUUAUUUUUGGUACUGGGAAUUUAACAAAGGAGCACUUUAUCACUAAGCUACAUCCCCAACCCUUUUUCAUUUUUAUUUUGCGAUGGAGUCUCACUAAGUUGCUAAGGCCAGCCUCCCUAGUCACUGGGAUUAUUUGCUUGUACCAUUGCACCUGUCAAGGAAUUGAAUUUUAAAUUGUGCAUGUGUAUGUGAUGUGUGCAUGUUCUGAGGGUUGAACCCAGGGCCUCAGGCAUGCUGAUCGCUGCUCCACCAUUGAUCUACACCUGCAGUCCAAUUUUUAAUUAAAAAAUUAAAACUGCCCCAGAGUGUUUUCCAACAUUUGUCUUAAUGUGCUUACUAAGCUAUAUAUACACAUCAAGGUCUGAUUUGGCUUCCAGGAAACAUUUGUGGAAUGAGUGAAAGGUUCAUACGGGAAAGAAGUUACUAAUAUCAGUAACCCCUGGAAGAGGACAUCUGGUACAAUGUGAGUGCCUAUGAUGUUAGCCUUUAAACCACUUACUCUGAGAGCCUGCCAGGAACAUGGUACUAUAUGGGAGCCUGAAGAUACAAGUGGAUAUUAGACUGGCCCACCUGCCCAAAUCUUUCAAGGACAAAUAAUUGGUGAUGAAGCAGGAAUCCUAAGACCUGGGUAGCCACUUCCAGACAUACAUUCCAGGGACAGACCAGGCCUGGUGACUCACACCUAUAAUCCCAGCUGCUCAGAGGCUGAGGCAGGGGGAUCACACAUUCUAGGCCAGCCUCUAUAACUUAGUGAGACUCCAUCUCAAAAAAAAAAAAAAAAGAAGAAGGUAGGGCUUGGAAUGUAGCUCAGUAGUAGAGCACAUACCUAGUGUGCCCAGGGCUCUAUUCCCAUCACUAAAAUAACAAUAAUAAUAAUAAUCAGCAAGAUAACUAUUAUAUGUGUAGAAUUUCCUUUGGAAAGACCAAAAAAGGUUGCGGGGUGCUGGUAGAACUGGAGAAAAAUUAAAAGGAACUAUUCUUUAGUAGAAUGUCAGAUUUUACCACAUGUAUAUAUGGCUGUUGCCUGAUUUUGAACCAUACAAAUUCAAGUGUUAUUUUUUUCACCAGUACUGGGGAUUGAAGCCAGGGGCACCCCACCACUGAACUACCUCCAUUUUCAUUUUUUUUUUUUUAAUCUUUGAGACAGGGUUUGGAUAAGUUGCCGAGGCUGAUCUGGAACUUAAGAUCUUCUGCGUCAGCAUCCUGAGAUGCAGGUGUAUGCCACCUUGCCCAGCCCUUUCACUACUUCUUUUUUUUUUCUUUGUGGGGGGCAGUUUAAUGGGGCAAUGAAUCCCCCAAGGGCAUUCUGCCACUGAGCUAAACCCCGACCCAGUCCCUUUUAUUUUAUUUGAGACAGGGUCUCUCAGUUGCUGAAGGUCUAGCUAAAUUACCCAGGCUUGGAAUUUUCAAUUCUUCUGCCUUGGCUCCCUCAAAUUAUAGGGUGCGCCAUCACACCUGCCUGAGUUAAUUUCAUUUUACAUGUUAUAGUGCCUUUUGAAUUUCAUUUUUUUUUUUUUUUAGUGUUGCCUACUCAAAAAUGAAUUCUAGGAAUAGCUUAGAGGUAAAGCACUUGCCUAGAAUGCAUAAGGCCCUGGGUUCAAUCCCAGCAUCUCAAUAAAAAGGAAAAAGAAAGAUGUAGAAAAUAAAAAGCAUUACCAAAUCUUAAAAGAGUUUUGUCCCAUUUUAUAAGACUUUUAUUAACUUUAUCCUGGGGAGACAACAGAUGGUGACAUUUCUGUUAAAGUGAUUGUUCUCAAAGAACUUUUUUGUUUGUUUGUUGUUGGGUUGGUUGCUUUCUAUUUUUUUUCUUUUCUUUUUAAUUUGUUCCUUUUGUAUUAAAGUGGAAAAGUAAGAAAGAACAAAUUAGGGGCUGGGAUUGUGGUUUAGUGGUAGAGCACUUGCCUAGCAUGUGUGAGGCACUGGGUUCCAUCCUCAGCACCGCAUAAAAAUAAAUAAAGGUACUGUGUCCAUCUACAACUAAAAAAAAAAGAAAAGAAAAAAAAAAACAAAUUAUAUACAGAGACCAAUCUUCAGGCCUUAACUAUUUUGGGACGCUUGAUUUUCUAUUUAAAAUUCAGCAUUUCAUAUUCUCUCUCUUCCUAUGUGAGGAUUGGAAAGAACCUUGGAAAUAACAGGUGAGUUAAUUAAAGGGUUAAUGCCAGGAAACGAGUCAUAAAAGUUCAAAGAUUCUUUUAUAAACUUACAUCUUUGGAUUGAUGAACAAGUGUGUGAGCCAAUAGAAAUAAAAAUCCAGGCAUUACUUCAUCGUGCUCAACUGUCAUUGGCUGACAAUCCCUGAGAGAUGGACCAGAGGGCUGGCAGUUAACCCUUUCAGGGUGGAGCUUGCCCUCUGCAUUCAUUUUAAUUUCAAAGAUGAAGCAGGGACAGAAGAAAAGUCUAGAAGAGUCCUCAGAUCCUCAAGUGCCAAGUUUGGAUCUAACCUCAGAAGGCAGACUUUACCUAGCAAAGAAAUACUCAGGGACAAAUUUUCUGGAGAAAAAAAAGUUUUGAACUUUUAAAAUGGGGAAAUGAGCUGACCUUGCCGAGUGGGAGGAGAGGGGAGGAGAGAAGUUUGAUGCACCUUUUGUGCUGUCAGAACAGAGACCUAGGUUGGAGACGAUUCCAUUAAUCUUGCAAAGUGAUCAGUCACUGAGAGGAUUGAAUUGCAUUUCCUGCCCAAAGAUGUAGAGACAGAUGACCUUUGCAGCAGCCCUCAGACCCCCAGCUCACAGCUGGAGAGAGGAUGUGUCAGCAUCUACUUUCGGGUCUCACCCUGCCCUUUGUUCAAAAUUCAAGCCCUUUGUGUUGGAGCUGCUCAGGGGUUUUGGUCGUUGUUGAUGCUGCUGAUUUUUUUAACCGCCCACAUCUUGAGACUUCUGAGAAGCAAACUCUCUAUCUGGCAGAAGAUAAUAUCUGGAGGUGCCCCAAAGAGAGAACCGGAACAGACAUGGGGAAUUUUGAGAGGCCAUUGGACCUUUUGGCUUUAAUUACUGCCCUUUCCUGGGCUCCCUGAGUGCUGCAGGAUGAACCGAUGGAACCAGGAGUCCAGCAGAACUAAUCGUGCCUCAGGUUUAGACGGUUCUGUUAAAAAAAGCUUUGAGUACAUUACCCCCAUGUAAGAGGCAUUGCUAAAACAAAAGCAUUUGCAUAAAGAAAACAUUCUAAAUUCCCCAACAGUGAGCUACCAGACUUUGAACAAAAAUGCUUAAACUGAGUCUCAGUUUCCUGUCUGUGAAAUCAGGGUGGUGAUAAUGCAAUGGCUUGGGGAUUGUCUUCAUUCACAUGAAGAGGACCACCUGGCUUCCAUGACCCUGACAAGGAGCUUCCCCUAACAGGUUAGCUGUCCCCAAGUUGAAGGCUGACGGGGAAGACUGCCUGAGAGGGAUGGCAGAGCCCUGAUUCCCCAGCAGGGCUCCUUCCAAACCUGACCACGCUGUGCUAUGGAUUUGGAUUAAAUGUGCUCCUUUUUCCGCCUUUAGGCCUUUGCACAUGCUAAUCCUGUCCCCCACUCUGUCCUACCCUCCAAACCAAUGGCUUCUCCUGGAAUCUGCUUAGAUAGAGCCUCUUUUCCUUCCC
Molecule: long non-coding RNA, 6443 nt
Filed under: Marmota monax (woodchuck)
Lineage: Eukaryota; Metazoa; Chordata; Mammalia; Rodentia; Sciuridae
Rfam family: tRNA (bases 4419-4474)
Source: RNAcentral